This 737-nucleotide small RNA is filed under the name Pongo abelii (Sumatran orangutan). Its description in RNAcentral is "retained intron". The record is from RNAcentral. Lineage: Eukaryota; Metazoa; Chordata; Mammalia; Primates; Hominidae.
CCAGAACCAUGCUUAGGAUUGCAUUGCCCUGGAGCACAUGAGGAGGCCAGGGCCCUCUAAUGCAGUUCAGCGAGUGGAGACGAUGGGCGUGGGAAAUAAAAGCAGGUCAUUCACUCUUUUUUCUCAUCACCCUCUAACUUCCUUUUGGUUCCCUCACUCUUUCUGUGUUCUUUUUUCCUUCCCUAAUUCUUCACCUCCCCCUCCUCUGCUGCCUCCUUGCUCUCCUCGCAGGUCAAGUUUAUCCAUGGGGGAACCAGUUCCAGCCAAACCGCACCAACCUGUGGCAGGGCAAGUUCCCAAAGGGAGACAAAGCUGAGGAUGGCUUCCAUGGAGUCUCCCCAGUGAAUGCUUUCCCCGCCCAGAACAACUACGGGCUCUAUGACCUCCUGGGGAACGUGUGGGAGUGGACAGCAUCACCGUACCAGGCCGCUGAGCAGGACAUGCGCGUCCUCCGGGGGGCAUCCUGGAUCGACACAGCUGAUGGCUCUGCCAAUCACCGGGCCCGGGUCACCACCAGGAUGGGCAACACUCCAGAUUCAGCCUCAGACAACCUUGGUUUCCGCUGUGCUGCAGACGCAGGUCGGCCACCAGGGGAGCUAUAAGCAGCCGGAUGGUGACAAGGAGAAAAGCCCUCCAGGGUCACUGUCAUUCCCUGGCCAUGUUGCAAACAGUGCAAUUCCAAGCUCGGGAGCUUCAGCCUCAGGAAAGAACUUCCCCUUCCCUGUCUCCCAUCCCUC